Molecule: ribosomal RNA, 405 nt
Filed under: uncultured bacterium
Lineage: Bacteria
Description: partial 16S ribosomal RNA
Rfam family: Bacterial small subunit ribosomal RNA
Source: RNAcentral
AUUGAACGCUGGCGGCAGCCUAACCCAUGCCAGUCGAACGGGUGGCGGGCGGGUUAGUAAUGUCUGGGAAACUUCCUGAUGGGGGGGGAUUACUACUGGAAACCGUAGCUAAUACCCCCUACCCUCCGAUUUGCCCCGAUGGGGUUAGCUUGUUGGUGGGGUAACGGCUCACCAAGGCGACGAUCCCUAGCUGGUCUGAGAGGGUGACCAGCCACACUGGAACUGAGACACGGUCCAGACUCCUACGGGAGGCAGCAGUGGGGAAGAUUGCACAAUGGGCGCAAGCCUGAUGCAGCCAUGCCGCGUGUAUGAAGAAGGCCUUCGGGUUGUAAAGUACUUUCAGCGGGGAGGCGUUACCCGCAGAAGAAGCACCGGCUAACUCCGUGCCAGCAGCCGCGGUAAUAC